AAAGCAAGUAUGCUUAGUAAGUCUUGGUAGAUUUGGUCUUGGUCUCCGUUCUUAGCUUUAGCAAUGGUAAAACACAUGGUAUUUUAUGAAUUCUGGUAAGUGAGGUAGAGAACUAGAUUCUAGUUAAACACUUGAAAAUUAGUUUUUUACUAUAAACAUAAUUUUUUGGAUAUUACGUUGAAAGUUAUUUACUAAUAGUUUACACCAGUGUUGGAGAUUGAACAAUAAAUUUUAGUUUGAUUCAGCAAGUAGCUAGUUAAGGUCUGGUAAAGUUUGUGCCAGCCACCGCGGUUAGACAAACAGGUUAAGUUAAGAUUGAUAAAGUAAAAAAGAAGGUUAAAGAAGAAUAAUUUUGUAGCUUAAGGGAAAAUUAUGUUUUUUGUGGGGGUGGAAUCUGUGCAAAAAAAAAUAAUUUGUUAUUUCCUUGUUCUUGAGUCCUUGAAAUCUCAUUAAAAGACCGGGAUUAGAUACCCCGUUAUUUGAGAUCUAAAAUUUGAUUUUGAUAAUUUACUUGAGUAUUACGAGUUGUGUGAGUAUAACUCAUUUCUAAAGGUCUUAAAACUCAAAAGACUUGGCGGUGUCUUAAGUCCUUCUAGGGGAACCUGUCCUAUAAUCGAUAGUCCACGAUUUAUCUUUCCUUUUCUUGAAAUAUUCAGCUUGUAUACCGUCGUCGUCAGAUUACCUUUAAGAGUUAAAUAAGUUAUCAGAAAGAAGCUUACAAAUUAAUUUUUAUCUUAAUUCUAGAAAAUAGAAUAUGGGUGAGCACUAUUAAUAAAGUAAUUUUCUUGAUGUCAGAUCAAGGUGCAGCUAAUGAAAAGGUAGAGAUGGGUUACAAUAAUAAUUUAUUAUUACGAAUUUCUUAUUGCAAACUAUAAGAAUUGAAGGCGGACUUAGAAGUAAUUAAUUAAAAAUAGAAAGUUUUGGUGAAAAUGGCACUAAGAUGUGCACACAUCGCCCGUCGCUCUCGUUGAAAAAUGAGAUAAGUCGUAACAUAGUUAGGGUACCGGAAGGUGUUCUUAAUGAAAAAUAGAACGAAGCAAUUAUGUAAAUUGUGAAUUAAAAAC
RNAcentral lists this ribosomal RNA (1064 nucleotides) under Tegula lividomaculata. RNAcentral describes it as "12S ribosomal RNA". The record is from RNAcentral. Lineage: Eukaryota; Metazoa; Mollusca; Gastropoda; Trochida; Tegulidae.